Molecule: long non-coding RNA, 17079 nt
Organism: Camelus dromedarius (Arabian camel)
Lineage: Eukaryota; Metazoa; Chordata; Mammalia; Artiodactyla; Camelidae
Exons: 9
Source: RefSeq, a predicted model, not a curated record
GUUCCUUUUCUUCCCAGGCAUACCAGAAACAUGUAAAUAAAUCCAGGAGAAAAGCGAACAUCCAAGUUCAUCUGGUCCACUUGAAGUGGAGAGAGCUUAGACAGCAUUCCUAGCUGGGGAGUCCACUGUUUCACUCUGAAAAGCCAAGUGGUGUGAGAACCCUAGAUUUAGAGACUGGAGGGAUUAUUAAGUAGUCUAAGAAAAUAAUGCAAAAAUCUUUGCAUGAUAUGGAUAAAUAAUUGGAUAAAUUUUUUUUCCUGUUUGGUUUUUUUUUUUAAUGAAGUAUAUUUGAUUUCCAGUAUUAUGUUAGUUUCAGGUGUAUGGCAUAGUGAUCCAGUAUUUUUAUAGAUUAUGCUCCAUUAUAGGUUAUUGCAAGAUAAUAGGUAUGAUUUUCUGUGCUAUAAAUUCUUGUUGCUUAUCUAUUUUAUAUAUAAUAGUUUGUAUCUGCUGUUAAUUCCAUACUCUGUAUAUCUUCCCUCCCCUUUUCUCAUUCUCUUUGGUAACCAUAAGUUUGUUCUCUGUAAGUCUGUUUCUGUUUCUUAUAUUCACCCAUUUGUCUUAUUUUUUAGAUUCCACAUAUAAGUGACACAUCGUAUCUGUAUUUCUUUGACUUAAUUCACUAGGCAUGAUGUUCUCUAGGUCCAUGCACAUUAUGCGGUAUUUCAGCCUUUAUGACUGAGUAAUACGCCAAUGUAUAUGUGUAUACCACAUCUUAAGCCAGUUGUUUGUUGAUGGGCACUUGCAUUGCUUCCAUGUCUUUACUGUUGUCAGCGCUGCUGUGAACAUUGGGGUGCAUGUGUCUUUUCAAUUUACUGUUUUUGUUUUUCUGUAUAUAUAGCGAGGAGUGGAAUUGCUGGAUCAUACGGUAGUUCUUUCUUCAGAAACUCGACUGUGUUGAGGAACCUCCACACUGUUUGCUGUAGUGGUUACGCCAGUUCACAUUCCCACCAACAGUGUACGAUGGUCCCCUUUCCACAUCUUCUCCAGCAUUUGCUGUGUGUUGAGUUUUUGGUGAUAGCUGUUCUGACCAGUGUGAGGGAUACUUCACUGUGGUUUUGAUGUGCAUUUCUCUGAUAAUUAGCAGUGAUGAAUGUCUUUUCAUCUGUCUGUUAGCCAUCUGUAGGUGUUUGAAAAAGUGUCUAUUCAGUCUUCUGCCCAUUUUUGAUUGGAUUGCUUUCUGAUACUGAGUUGUAUGAGCUGUUUGUGUAUUUUGGAUAUUAACCCCUCGUUGGUCACAUCAUUUCUAAAUGUUUUCUUGGAUUCCUUAGGUUUUCUUUUCGUUUUGUUGAUGGUUUAUUUUGCUGUGCAAAAGCUAUAAAGUUUAAUUAGGUCUCAUUUGUUUGUUUUUUUUCUUUUGCCUUGAGAGACUGAUGUAAGAAAAUGCUGCUGUGAUUUAUGUCAGAGUGUUUCACCUGUGUUCUCUUGUAGGCGUUGAAUAGUUUUCGGUCUUACAUUGAGGUCUUGAAACCAUUUUGAGUUUAUUUUUGUGGAUAAACUAUUUUUGAAAUAGAACUGAAAAUACACAGCUAAGCUUGAAAGUAUAAAAGGGGCGUGUUCAAGCACUAGAACUGGAGAGACUUGUUCCUGUGUCGGCGAGUUGUGAGCAAAGCUCCUAGCCCCAUGGUGGAAACUGGGGGGACACUGGUGGGGCUGUUGCCAGUGGAUUUAACCAUGUCUAGGUUCUUGUCCUGUCCCAGAAAGAAUUCAGAGACAAGAUGUAGUGGUUAAAAAAAGUAAAGUGAGAAUUUAUUGAAGGAUGGAUGGUACACGCAAGGGGAGAGCAGGCAGGCUCAGGUGAGUGGCUGCCUGUGUUUCUCUGGCAGGUUAGUUACAUGGGAUGUAAAAAUGAAUGGGUGGAAGGCCUUGGGGUCGUCGUAUUCCCUGAUUUUCACCCCAGCUCUGCCUUCCCGAAGGGAGGAGGGAUUUUUGUCCUUAUUUAGUCUGGAUUGGAAGUGUCGUGGUGUCCAUGCAUGAUGGGUACUUCUGAUCUGCAAGGCUAAUUUUAUUGAAAUGAGGGCAUAAUAAGCAAAAGGUUACAUCUGGACACUGGAAAUUCCUGCCUUUUCUCACCUUUCUUUGUUGGUCUCCAGGCCACUCAUCACCCCAAAAGGUGUGACCAGUUAUCAGCCCAAAGGUUCCUGCUUUUCUUUCUCUGCCCAGGGACGCCUGGUGUUUACAUGAUGUAUGGUUUCCUGCAUUUGGCCUGUGCCCCUCCUUUCUGCCCAAUUCCUGCCAUUUGGUCUGUGUCCCCCUUUCUCUGUUCACGUCUAGCUAUCUGCCUGCUCUAACAGGGCCAGGACCCAGCAGUGGGCCUCCAGGGCCAGGGUUUGACACCAACACUGGACAGGAGGCUCCCGGCCUGAGUUGGCCCAGAACAGCACUGCCUUUUCUCUACGACAGAGUAGGGUCUGAGUCAGGGCUUAGAGGUAGCCAUCAGCCCCAGGCUGCAGGGGGAUACGUCAUGUUGGAAAAUCUAGCCUGCAGAUUGGUUCUACCCACAAAGUUCACAAAAAGCCAAGCUGAAAAUCCAGCAUAAGAACUAAUUUGGAGCCAGUCAACCCAGUGAGAGUCUUCCACAGCCCAGGAGAAGGGGGACUCCCAAGUUGGGCGUAGACAGCUAUGGUUGGGGAAUGCAGGCAAAACCACAAGACACGAAGGUGUGGGUGUCGGCAUUCUCCACAGCUGUUUGUGUGUCUAAGAGACUUCCUUUUUUUUAAAAAGCACCACAAAAGGAAGUCCCUUGUGGUCCAGAAGACUGUUCACAGACCCAGGUGAGGAACUUCAUACCCAAGAAGUUAUAGGUAACGGAGGUUAUUUCAUGAACGUGGAACAGGAGAGCCUGCUUUGUCCAAAUCAGAGGCAGAGCCACAUGCAGAACUGCGGUGUCCCGUGACCCAGGGUAAAUAGAAUCAUGUAUCACCGUAUUGAAACCAAAGAUCCAAGGACCCGGGCAAGGUCUUUUCUUUGCCUCCGCUUCCGCUUAAGGGUGUAAGUCGUCGCUACAAGACCAGAGCGGAGCCUGACUUCAUGGUGGAGUUGGUCACUCCUGCACCAUCCCCUCUCCCAGAGUAUGGACGCUGGACUGAGAUUAGGGAUGUUGAUUGAGAUCGGUUGGUUGCUGACUAGCUGUGUGACCUUGGACAAAUCACGUGAUCUCAGCCUGAUUUCCUCCCCUGAAGAAUGGAAGGGGUUGGUCUAGCACUGGAUGAACCCUAGGGCUCUGUUCAUUUCCCAGCUGGAGCCUCAAAGCCUUCACAGCAUGAGAGGGAUGUGGCCACAGACAGGAGGUCAAGGGGCCAGAAAAGGAAGCGGUGCCAGCCCCUCAAGCUCAGUUAGGAAACCUCCAAGAUGCCAAGGGCCAAGAUUGACCCAGGACAUCUAAGUGAUACCAUGUAUGACCAAGGUCAGAGACUAACGCAUUUUAGGGAAAAGCAAAAUUUCAUUUUAUUUAACUCAGUUACUUCUAGAUGAGCACGACCUCAUUUCUGAGCAUGAAUGCAGUUCUCCUGAUACGUGACCCUCCACCAUGUAUACAGAUGGUUGGAGUGAAUUGAUGAAGACCCAAGUCUGCGGACCCUGCACCCUCCACCCAGCUCUUAGCACCUCACUUGAUCGGCAGGUUAGUGGAGGAAAGAAGCUAGAGCCUUCUCUGGAAGGCCAGUUAGAAUUGCCUUCAGGAGAAGACAGCAGGCUGUGAACACACAAGUCAUGCCAGCUAACUGCAGAAACACCCACAAGGGCCCUCCUAAGGUCGUCGCUGCUGUGAGUCAGACCCUUGGAGAACCAGCGCCCCGUCCCUGGACUGGCCGCUGGGCUCAGCGCUCACAAUUACCUCAUCAUUUCUGGUCCUGAAGACAACUGACGGGCCUGUGCCAGCGCGAGGACGCCAGCCCUUACAGCUGCCUCCUCUUCCCACCUGGAGUAAAUUCACCCACUCACCUGGAAAACUGAACAGCCAGUGAGAGCGAGAGACAGCUGCGGUUGUGUGUACCCUGGGUCAACUUGAUUUUCCUUUUUUUGUGGUUCUCUACAAAGGACAGUGUGAGUUGUGUUUAGCAAUAAAGUCGUUUCCCAAGUUCUUCCCUCUACCUUUAACAACCCCUCCAGGGCAAACAGCAGUUCCAUUAAUGAUUGGCAGAUUUGAGAAAGCCGAGCCAUCAGUGCGGUUCCAGAUUUCCAUUGCUGCGCCCUCCCAGCAUCAGAAGACAAACCUUCAACAUUUAAUGAGGAGAACAGCAUGCUGUAACUACUGUGUGGCUCUCCACCCCCACCCCAGAAAGAGCCUCCCCGAAAAGAAGUUCAGUCCCAUGCUGCUGACAGUAGCGAUACUUUGGUUUUUUUGUGAACUUAAAAAGAAGAGGUCACUGGACUCAAGCAACAAACAUUUGAGAUCAUUGCUUUAUUUUACUAUUUGUUCAACAACAAAGUUCAUUCCUCUCAAGGUGGAUCUUGAAUUGUUCCUUGUGUUCUUUUCCUCGUUCUGAAUAAAAAAGAUAAUGAAGAAAAAGCCUGUACUUCUGAAGACCUAGAAUCUUGAUUAUGCUAAUAAGCUUUUGACUACAAUUUCGUGUUACGAUGUUUCCUGCUGGCAUCUUGGUGGUCAGACGGAGCUCCCCACCCUCCAGUGAAGAUGGCUGUCCACAGCUACCACCAUUGAAACCAAAAGUAAGUGUUGAAAAAUGCACCUUUUACAAUAAAAAAGUAGAAACCAAUUCAAUUUCCUUUUUUUUUACGAAUAUAAAGUCUCUUGUAAAUAUGUACAGUCUUUGAGCUAGUUCUAUAGCAGGAAGCGUUUCACAAAUGAGACACACGAUAUACACCGUAAGGGUUGAGGAGCCCAUUUCUCAUGGAGAUCCUAAAUGAAAUGCCAAGACUGAAAGACCAGUGUUCAGUGACCUUUCCAAAUACUCGUGGACCAAGAGACACAAAACUUCAGCAAACAUUCAGUCGGAUCUGCCCCGGGGAAGGAGGGGCUGCAGUGUGACCGCCAAAGACGAAGCAACGCGUAAAACGACAGCAUGACGUUGGCCAAGGCGCAACAUGGAGGGAGAGUCGUGGGCAUUUCACACGAGAAAGCACUUAGGUUAAGAGACGAGCAGGAGGGAGCCGGGACUCGGGCCAGGUUGCAGUCUGGAAGAGGGAGCUGAACUGUGGACACGUGAGUUGAAACGUGGUCACGUUCACCUGCUGUGGUAGGAAGAGGUCUACCUUUCCGCCUACCUAGGAUGGGCCUGGGUUGUUCGAGGCGUGGAGAAUCCCAAAGGAGCAAGAGAGGCCUUGUGGGAGAUUAAAGGCAGAAGUAAGGCCGCUAGUUAGCUUGCCAACUGCAAAGCCUCUAAUUGGCUCUUUACCACUCGCCAGGAACCUCGUGCUGACAGGGUGGGCCGCGCUGCACCUGCGGAGGGCGGCCGGACCCCGGCAGAGGUGAGAGUCGGGCUGUGGCUUCCUUCUCCAAUUUCCUGGUCUUAGGCUAUCCCUAGGGAGAGGCUCGUUUGGGAAGUCACAGUUUUUGUGGGGUAGAACCUUGCUGGAUUGUGUGUGAACACAGUCGGCAGGGAAGCGUGGAAGUGUGAGGUGGUGGUUUGCUGAAAUCCUUCUCUGGUCGUAAGGCUUGAGCGUUUGGUUUUGUGUAUGUGUUCAGUGCUACAGACUGCAGCUUGUGGUGGCCAAUGAGUUGGCAAGUCGUCAGAGGGUCUCAGUUCGGCGGGAGCUAGGGGAUGGGGCUAGCGUGUUGGCAGAGCAACCCAAGGCGGGCAGCCAGGUCGGGGGGCAGCACAUGCAGCAAGCCGCCAUGCAGAGCUCCCGGGUGGGCCUCUCCCUCCCUGGGGAGGGGGUGGAGAGCAGCGCGCCCUCACAGCAGGAGCCCGGUGCCCCCUGGUCACCUCCUGGACCCAGAGACCCACCGGAGCUGGGCUCAGGGCAAGUCUAGUGCAUGCUUUCCUGGCGAAAGCUACGUGGAAAGCGGGGACAGCAGGCUGGGGGAUGACACUGAGGGGCGGGGAGGGAAAGCUCCUCGAGGUCCCUUGGCCCCAAGUCACCGCCUCUGAGCCAAGGCCCGAUCACCUCCAUACAUUCUCAGCUGGUGGGAGGGGAAGUCUUCAAGGCCCUAAAAGGCAAUGAGAACGGUAAACAUUUGGCUAAGGUGUCACCCUGGGUAAAACAGGGCCAUCUGUGAGGAUGAACUGGAGCAAGGAUGAGCCGACGUGAGUGCGGGAGGUCAGCCAACCAGUGGGGGCUCUUCUACGACACAUUUUAGCAGCAAAGACCUGAUGGUGUGAUCUCGCUAAAAAUGACUACAACAGGAAAUACAGUGCUAUUCAAAUCUAUUAAGAAUUCUGUCAUCUUAAAAAAAGAAAGAAAAACAGAAAAACAAAAAACCAACCCUAGGAUCUUAAAGUAGCUAUUAAGUAGGAUUCUAACCACAGUGUAGUUAGCCCCCGGUUGGUUUCCUUUGAUGAACUGGUACAGGCUGGAGCUAGGUACAAAAGUUUAUGAAUGCUUUGAAAGAGUAACAAAGUGCACAGAGGAUGGCUGCAGGGAGGUGCCAGCAGCCCCUCAGAGCCUCGGCCCCUGCCCUCCUGGAGGCCAGCUGUCGCUGCCAAGGUGGGUCUGGGUCCAGCUGCCCCGUGGGCUGGCCGAGCAGGUGGGUGCUGGGUCCCCUUCAGCAGAGUUCCAUAGUGUGUUUGGUGUUUUCCUGCAGAUUAAGAUGAGUUGGUUUUUCUGGCUGAGAUUUAUACCGAAGACUGGUCCCAGACCUAGGAGCAAAAUGAGGAGCAGGUUUAGCCAUCAGAGGCCAGAACUCACUGUGCUCGCUACACAAACAGGAAGGCUGCAGCCCCUGCUGUCCCCUGCAGCAGUUUCCGGUGAAUGCUCUGCGGGGCGGCACCGGCUCGCACAGCGAACCCUCAGAGUUUGCAAAACUCAUUGACAAGUCCCCAAGGCUGUUGGCAGGGGUGCCAGCAGGGAACUACAGAUGGCACGUAGAGGGUGCAAUCCAGAAAACCAGCCCCUGGUGACAGGAAGGUGGCUCUGCUGUCCAGAGGGGUCCCCUGGAACUGGCUGGCUGGCCGAGGUGGCACCAAGCCCACAGGCAAAUCCCUGAGCCUUCAGCACAUCUGCCGUCUCCUCAGUGGCUAACCUAAAAAUUACACAGGACAGGGACAGGAGGCCGAGAGGGCAGCGAAAGGACAUCAGGCUCCCCGGUCAGGACGCAGGCUGUGUACUGAGCACCUGCAGCCUGUCGGGCCCUGUGCUAAACUCUCCAAGGACCCUAACUCAUUAAAUCACCCUCACAGCUCCACAAGCCAGGGAGAAGCACCACCCUGCCUGCGCAGACAGGAAGAUGGAAACAUAGAGGCUGGGAGUGCAGUACAGAGUUACACUCCCUGCUCCACUAAACAGACCAGGGCAAUGCGGCCUGCAGUGAAAUCACAUUUGACCAAGCUGGCCUUCUCUGUUCUGGACCUGCCCCACACAGUCAGCAGCAGAAAGGCUAUUUCACAAGCUGAGAGAUGGCUGAAGGCUAAAUGUUGUUUCCAUGCCCGUCUGGGGAAUCAGCAGUAUUUCUGCCCCUUGUUCACAGGACCUGGAACCAUUUUUCAACCACAGAAUAAGUAAGUGCUUACAGAGACACCAUCUCAUCUCAAAAGGAAGGUGCCAUCUCAUUUGUGAGGCAAUGGAGGAAAAAACCCGAAUGGCAGUACUUUGGUUUGCUCUUGGCAUCACUUGUCUAGCUGUUCUUUAAGUAGCCUCCAUUUUCAGGGGAGGACUGAGCAGUCACUCCUGAGGCAAAAGGGCAAGCCGAAGAGGUGCAGCUGGUUAUUGGGCACUUCUGGUUUUCCAACAAGUUCCUGGGAUUAAAAUCACACUGACAGAACAUUUCAGACUAACACUUAGAUUUCAGCCAAAAAAAAAAAGACUAUUCAUUAGGACAUAGUAUUAUAAAAGAGAGCCAUCAAUUUAAUAUCCUAAGGUGUAAGCAUUUUGUAACAUUAGAGGUGGUUUCUCCACCAACCUGAGUCCCUUGAGAAUAAAAACAGUGUCGUCUUCAUCUGUGUCUCCCUGCACUGUCUGGCACACGGUCGGAGACCCACAUCGUUCUUUAUAGGGCGGACAUGUCAGGUUUUCAAACCAGUCCACAGAAUUAAAUACUCCCCUAGGUUAAAAAAGCUCGUCUCCUUUGUGGACCAAGAUCUUCUAAUUACACAUCUCAAACCUACACAUCGAACUGGGGCUGGCUCGUAGCCCUGUGUGGCAAGAAACGCCAGUCCCACUUCCACGUACUGCUGGCGGGAUUACAAAAGGGUACAGCCUCCAGGGAGGAAAACUCAUUGGGUGCCGCCCAGCGACUCCUCUUCUAGGAAUCCACCCUCCAGAUAGAUGCCUAAGCGUGCAAAAUGACACGUACAGAGUCAUUUACUACAGCAGCAGGCUGGAAACAACCCAAACAUCCACUGAUAAAGGAGCAGUUAAAUAAAUUAACGUGCAGGAAUGCUACGCAGGCUUAAAAAAAAAAUGAAACACUUCGAAUACUGACGCGGAGCAAUUGCCAAGAUACAAAAGAUACAGAAGAGUAUGCACAGUGCAUUAUCGACCUGUAUUAAAAAGAAGGAAACGAGCACUUCCAGAAUGGCAGAGUAAGGCCCCCAGAAAACCUGCUCCUCCAUAAAAGCAACAAGAACUCUGGCAACAUUGUCAAAAUCAGCUUUUCAGAACUCAGGCAAUUGACCAAAGUCUUGCAACAAUUCAAAGAGUGCUUAUGCAAGAAAAACAGCUGAAUUUCAAAACAACAAGCUUUGUGGUAUUUCAGCCUGACCUGUUCCCACCCUUCUCUGCCCAGAUCUGCAGUAGUUUUGAAAGCAGCAGCCUCACACACACAGUAGCUGUGAGAACCAGCAGCCACUGGGGGGAGCCCAUCAGGACUGGGCUCUCCAGAGAGCCUCAUCCCCGGAAAACUGGCCCUAUGUGACCUAUCUGGCUCCCCCCUGGAAAAAGACCAUCCUCAGGGUUGGUUUUUAUUUGACCUGAUUCAGGUCUUGCGCAAGAGAAAUGCCCUAUGUCUAGACAUUUAUCCAGAAACAAUCAGCAGUAAUUCCUUAACCCAGCAAAUGCCUGAGGCAGUGAGACCAGUUGGGGAAAGCAGGAGGCUGGCUGAAACACUCAAAAUCUGGGAAUAAGAUAGAUGCCUAUGCGGGGUUUUGAAAUACUCCUAGGGAACCGUGGGGCCCCACACUCAGGUGAGGCUGUACACAAGCCCAGGAAAAACAUGCGAAAGCUCCAGCCUCUCAGCAGUGGCUGACCUGGGGUGUUGAAGGUGAGCCCCGAAACACACGCACACAGCCGCUCAGCAAAGGGUGGGAGACUGACUUCAGUGCCUUGAGGACGUCUCUGUCCAGUCAUUUAGCUGACCACUACCCUAACCAAAGAGAAACUUCAAUGGCUACACAAACGAAGGACACAGACGGGCUUUACAGAAUUAGUCUGGGAGAGCCACUAAACAAACAGCAGCAAACCUGGGGGGAUCCGAUUACCAGAGUUGCCAUGUUCUGUUAUUUGAAAUACUCAGUUUUCAUGUAUAGCACAGGGAAGUAUAUACAAGAUCUUGUGGUAGCUCACAGCAAAAAAAAAAUGUGACAGUGAAUAUAUGUAUGUUCAUAUAUAACUGAAAAUUGUGCUGUACACUGGAAUUUGACAUAACAUUGUAAAAUUGUUAUAUGGACUAUAACUCUAAAAAAAUGUUAAAAAAUAUUCAGUUUUUAGCAGAAAAAUUACAAGACACUCAAAGUAAAAUGUGGGCAGUAGUCAGGGCCUCAUUUCUUCGGGGACAGCCUCUCUGGCCCCAGGUCUAGGCUGGGGUCCUUCGAGCUCCCACGGUGCCUUAAACUACCCCAGCCCGAGCCUGCCUCCUGGCUCUAGGCUGUGCUGUAAUCACCCGAUUGCACGUCUCCCCUCCAGGCCCUCAGGGAGGGGGCUGCAUCUGGCUUACUCACUCUGCCUCCCUCAGCAAGCCCCACUAGCACGGCAAUCUGCUAAGGCAACAAAUGCAUAAUUCACGCGCCAUUCCAAACACGCCACUGAAAAUAACCCCAGAGAAAGGCCAGACAUUGCCUUCCGCCUUCUACAAGAGGGCAUUAAAAAAUUCUCCUGCUGCUUAUAAAGGGCUGUGUCAUUUCAGUGCUGUACAUCUCAAAGAAAUGAGUGGUUUGUGCUUUAAGAUUGGGAAACUAAACUAGUUUAGCAAGAUCUCCUUCUGCUUUGCAGAAAAGCACUUUGUUCCCUGUAAUGAGGAAAAGCAAGGGUGCGGUACCUGCGGGAGUUGGACGGGCCCCGGUGGUGGUCAGUGCCAGACUCCUUCACGAGGUUUCCUUUGCAGCAAAUGAUCCUUAAUUUAUCCUGGUAUGAGGAUGCCAGGUAUAUCGCCCCCGAGGAAAUUGCGGGGCCCAGGUAGCGUGGGUUGGGGAUUUCCAAAUACGCUCGGGCGGGGGUCCUGCAAAGUUCCGGAUGAGUGUGUGCAGGGCUGGUUACCGCCAUCGUGACGCAGGGUAGGGAGAUACGCCGCCCGGCCCCAGCACCCAACCCCAGCUGCUGAACUUCUCAAAGCCUGCAGGACAUCACUUACCCCAGAGAGGAGCGUGCCUGGAUCUCAAUUACUUCCAGUGAGUUGAAGUGGGUCACAAACAGAUAGGGUUCUCUGUAGGCUGCAUGGCCACCAGGGAGCAAGAGCGUGGGGCAAGGAAGGGUUAAAAGACAGAAAAUCAAAACCUGGCUGCGAGCAACCUUGGACCCAGCAAUCCCACCUGAGGAAUUUAUCCUACACGUGGAACCACGUGCCAGCAGAAUGAGGCAUGUUCAAGUCUGUUCACUGCCAUGUUGCUGGAGCAACGUCAUGGGGGACGAGCUGUGCUGCUCACAGUCCACCCGUGGAAUGUGCCCGGCUGGAAAAACGCAUGAAGGGGCCCUCCGUGCACUGACGGGGGAGAAAACCCAAGUGUCACUGAGACCCUAGGAUAAAACAGGAGCUGGUUUUGGUCUUAAAGGGACGAGAUCAUCACUGUCGUCCCUUGCGGUAAACUGGUACUCCGGUGUCCGUCGUGCCUCCCAGUCCCCAUGCCCCCGUGGACUCUCCUUGCACUGAAUCUGGCCUUCAACCCACAGAAUGUGGUGGAACCCAGAAGGCCUGCCAGCUUCCACUUGCACACUCUUAGAAGCAGCCCACGGGGAGAGGAACUGAGGCCCCCAGCCCCCGCUGGGCUCCCACCGGACCGUCAGCUCCAACCACCCGCCACGCUGUGAAGCCAGCGCCCUUGCUGACACCGCAUGAACCAGAACUGUCCAGUCAAGUCACAGAAUCUUGGGCAAUGGUACAUAGUUGUGUGAAGUCACUAGGUUUUGAAACUUGUGAAGAAGCAACAGGCAAAACAGCCUUGAAGGGUCUCUCAGACCAAUACUUCAAGAGGCUGGGGGAUUCAGCUUCUAUGGUUCUGCCUCAAGCCUCAGAAUCUCUGCCGUGAAUGCUUACUCGGGUGACGCUACACGUGGCGGCAGUGGACUCCCCAAGCACAGUGCUUAAGCCAAAAGGAAUUCCACCUGCAGCUCUUUCCCAGGACCCUAACUCUUGGCAGCAAAGAGCCCCCACACCCUGCCUCACCUACCGAAGGCCAAAGGACCAGCCCUGUGCCUGGGGCCCUGGCCACACCCGCCCCGUCCGCAGCUGGCGGCAUCCCCGACUCACCGUGGAAGCAGAGCAGGUACUCCUCCCGCUGCCCUGCGCCAUUCACCUGCAUGAUGGACACGGGGAAACUGUUGGAAGAGGAGGCAAACACAGCAGGUGCCAAGGAGUGGUCGUUCUUAUCCAGGAAUUCUGUAAAGGCAGGCGAGAGGCGGGGCCUCAGGAACGAGGGGCCCCGAGGAGCCCGCGGGGGCCACAGGGCUUGGCAGUGGUGGGGGUUUGGGGGAGCCCGGGGCCCUACCCUCCAGCGUGUACUGCUUCAUGUCAAUUUCGUAGAAUUUAUUGGUUCCGAUGAGGAUGCUGUAAUUGGUGAAGUGGAUGCAGCUGCAGGGCUCCGAGGUCUCAAUCUCCUGAGACAGCGGGCAGAGAGGAGGCUGUGAGCACGGACCUGGGUGGCCACUCUUCCCCGCUGUCCUGGUGCCACCACAGGCAUCUGACCAAGCCCUGCAGGCGUCGCCUCCAGGUUGUUCACGUCCUCACAUCAAGCACGUGAAGUCUCCACACCCCUCGUGGGGAGGACCCGUCAUCCCUUUGCUACCUCUGGGUUCUAUGCACUCUCAGACUAAGAAGGUCAAAUUUGCAGCCAAAAAAAAGGUCAGAAACACCAUUUAAAUGAAAAGGUAACAUUCAAAGAAACCUUUAAAAAUAAAAUGCUCUAAUCAGAGGGAAAAGCUGGGGAAAUACACCAACAGCGGUGGUCAGAGGGAGUGGUGUCAGUUUCCUUCCUUUUGAAAACGUCUCAGUUUCUAUUUUGAACCUGUAUUACCUACAGGAUUAUUAGCAUCAUUACUGAAUUAUCUGUCUGAAUUAUCUGCUUCCUCAUUACUUCCAUUUGUUUUCAGGCCAGUCGUAAGAGCUUCAAAAACCUAGGCAUAUCUAUUCAAUAUGAUGGCCAGGAUUAUUACGAAGCAAUGGUUUCUGAGAAAUUUCCCAAAGCUAAUAGCUCAGACUCUAAUCAGCACUGUCAUCACCACGGAGUAUGUACUGAUUCCCUGCUAAGCAUGAGAAGGCUAGCGCAACAGGGAAAAUUGGGGGAAAUCAAAGCUCAGUUUUGGUGUCAGCUGUCUAGCCUGGGAUCUCGGCUAGCCUCAACCAUCUCACCUGACAGCUGCGGGGCAUGGGCCCUGCUCUUCAGAACUGUUGUGAGAAGUGCUUGUAAAACAGGCCGCUUGUCUCUGGGAGCGGUAGGUGCUCAAUGAAAACACAAACAAAGCAGCCUGCCCCGGAGGAAGGUUCUCUAACAGGGAACGACCCCUGUAUGUUCACUCUCCUUUUCUGACACUGAUCACGAAAGCAUCUGAAAUAAACUGGGCUGAUGGUGGGCAGAACGUUCUCAGUCUGGAGACAGGAGACGGCCUUCUCCCGAAGGGAGGCUCAUGUAACGAUCGAAGGGAAAGCUCGUCCCCACCACAGUCGUCACCGUCACAGCCCGCUCAGCCCCGAGGAGAGCUGGCUCCCACUAGCACUGGCUUUUCUAAAGAUUAUUAAUAGAAACUUCUAUAGUCUGAGAAAGAGUCUGGUUAAGUGCCACCAGGGGCUGCUGGCUUCUCAGAGAGACCUUCCUUUUUUCUGCUGAUUCAAAAGAAGUGUCUCCUCCCUCAGUCAGCUUCCCUUCUCUCUGAACAAAAGGUUGAACUCACUGGGCUGGCCAGGGAGAAGGGAAGCGGGAGGGAAGCCAGUGACAGGCAGCUCCAGAGCCCCCCGGGAAGCAGGGAGCGCUCUCCAGGAGGUCCCCGGGCUGCAGGACUCCGGGCACGGGCCAGGCGCCCCACAGCUCCCCUCUAGCCCUCCGGGCGAGCCGGCCAGACCCGGCCGGGACUUACCUUCCGAAUGCAGUACUUGCUCAGGUUCUCGUUGUAGCGAAGAACAACAACUUUGCUGGGCGUGGCCGCACAGAUGCAGAGCCCGCCCUCGAUCUGCAGCGCCAUUCGGGGGCGGAGGGGGAGAAAGACAGAAAACCAUCAGCAGAGCGCACACAGACUCUGUGGCAGAGCUAGGGAGCGGACACCAGUGUGGAGCAGGGUCUUGGGCGGGGCAUGGGGGACGCUGGGGACCGGAUGCUGCUCUGUGGGGAGGGGCUGCCCAGCGCUCUGUCAGAUGUUGAGCAGUGACCCUGGGCUUCACCCAUCAGGUGCCAGUGGUGCCUAAAGGAAGCAGCAGAAAUCUGACCCGGUUUGAGGACAUAAGAGUUUUCAAGGUCAAAUCAGUCAGCCCUGUGGGAAGAGGGGCAGGGACAAUCUCAAGAACAUUCGCCAGCCGAGGCCCGGAGGAGAGCUUACCUUGCCAGCAGCAAACAGGUGGCAGCCCUUGACAGCUUCAAAGACGCUGGGCGUGAUGUCUGGCUGGGCGGGCAGGUGAGACUGUGCGAGGGACUGUUUCACUUUCUUCACCUCCACGAGACACAGGGCCCGCUCCUCCCCUGAGGGCAGAGGGCACAGCGCCUCCGUCAGGGUGAGGCCGUGAAGCAGAGACAAGGGAUGACAGUUCUAGGUCUAUCCUGGACUAAAAGCCUCGCGCGGUCAGGCAGAUGGACUGAUGUCCACAAGUUCCCAUAAACAAUGUUCUAGAUCUAAAAGGAAAACACCUGGCCUCGUGGCCAUGAUUCUGGCGAGGGAAAAAAGUUCUGCAGACAUGAAAUCAGAGAACAGGGACCGUACUUUCAAACAUGCUCCCCCACCAAAGUCAAGAAAAAAUGUGUUUGGGGACAGUGAGGGGACGUUUUAUAAAACAUUAGGAGUGGACUAUUCCAGUAUGUCAGUGUCAUAGGAGACAAAGAAAGGCUGAGGAUUGUUCCAGGUUUGAGGAGACGACAGAGACAUGAGUGAAUGCAGGGCACUGUCCUGGGAAAAAAAACUCUAAAGGGCAGUAUUGGAACCACAGGUAAAAGCCAACUGUGGGCUACAUCAGAAAAGUAUUAUAGCAACAAUUCCCUGAAUUAAAACACUGUACCCUGUGAAAGUGUUCUGUAUGAUACUACCAUGGUAGACACGUGUCAUUGUACAUUUGUCCAAACCCACAGAAGGUACAAGACCAAGCCUGGACCUGAAUGUAAACUGCGCACGUGUCAAUGUCGGUCCAUCGACUGUAACAGAUGCCCCGCUCUGGUGGGGAUGCUGGUGGUGGGGGAGGCUGUGUGUGUGCAGGGGCCAAAGUAUGUGGGGGACCUCUGGACCUUCUGCUCAGUUCCUGAACACGCUAUCUCAGCCCCUGGAUCCAGCCAGCCAUGCCUGAAGUGAGACGUAACUGGGUGUUUUGAACAUGGAGCCAAAGAAUCGGUGUUUUCCCCUUAAAAAAAAAAAAUAAUCACCACUAAAGAGAGAAGAAAAAACUCUUUGCCAUGGUUCUGUGAGAGAAUGGCUUUGUUCUUUGGUGAUAUGCAGAAGAAUCUGGAGUCAGAGCUGCAAUUGACUCUCAGAUGGUUCAAAAUAAGAGAGAAAAUGAGUGUGUGAGUGUGUGUGUGUGGGAAGGGAGAAAGGGGGAAAAAAUGUGGCAGAGUGUUGACAAGUGGUGCGUGUAGACGGAGCAUCUCCGAGAUUGGGGAGAAAGGAGGCACACAGCGGGGCAGGCAGGCAGGAGGUCAUGGCUCACGCCGUACUGAUGCCACAAGGACCAAGGGCUUGACGUUAGUGAGGCUCCGAGGCCCGCUGCCCUUCACUUGGCAGGAUGCUGAGCUGUUCCCCGGGGGUGUCGGACUGCGCUACGCAGACACGCAGGGAACCGCAUCAGAGAGUAAGCCACAGGCCCAGGCACCUACAGGGACACAGAGCUAAGAACCACUGUCCCCAGGAGGGCCUGCCUUUGUGUGUGACAAGCAUGACAUGUGGCUUUUGAACCACCUCCCUCACAAGUGAAGAAAAAGUGCCGUGUCCUCGGCCUCCCACCUGCUAUCAUGAGGAGCUUCUCCAGGUCCUUGAUGAUAUAAAUUUGGAAGACUGCUCCAAUUCCCGGGACGUGGGUGAGGGAGUUUUUCAGGACAUUCAGUGCGUAGAGCCCUUCCUCGGUGCCCACCAGCACCACCUGCCGGGGCAGAAGUCCAAAGGCCGAACAUGAAUGCAAGCCUGUCCCCGUCACGGCCCCAACAGGAAGAGCCACACAGCCUUUUCACUGGGGACCGCGUGUGCCUGGUGCCAGACCCCAGCUGACCGUGCCCCUAAAGCAUCAUCACCUGGUCGCUGAAGGGCAGCGUGCAGUUCAUGUCUAGACGGUCAUCGCCUUCCAGUUUCAGCAGGGAGUUCCCAAGCAAUUUCUUUUCGUGUGUGAAAGGAAAAACGAGAGAGAGGAAAAGACGACACGGUCAGACUGAACUAUUCAAGACCAGACCAUCCAGAGACAAGCAAGAACGGACGGAAGUUCAAUGCCAGGAAGAAAGGCAAGUUACUCCUGAAAACACUCAGGAGCACACAUCUGCGCUUGGCUUGCCACACAUUUUGACCUGAGCCCGAGAGGCAAGACGAAAAUGCUAUCAGAACCUCUGGGUGGCUGUUAGCGUCGGAGUUAAAACGUGCUUUGGCUGCAGGAGUAAACGGGUGCAGAAGGCGGAGAGAGAGAUUCUGGGACAGGAGACUAGCUGAAGUGAUGUCGCCUGCAAAGGGUUAACAAGCCACAAGGAAGGUUCGGUCCCCGCCAAGCUGCAGCAUGAGUGCAAAGCCCAGUGUCUGCAGCCAACCCGCAAGCCUCUGAGUCUCUUUACCUGAACCCACGUGAGUGGAAGCUCGUAGGAAAUACGGUCUCGGCCCUAUUGUACACACACUGAUUUCAGUACAAGGCUCCCGCGUGUAACAGUGAGACAGGUCAUCAAAACAGGUCUACCCCAUGAGCACGGCUCUAGCAGGAGGCUCGUGGUUGAGGAUUUUCUGAUUGCGAACACUUACACUGUUUAUAAGGAGCUAAGUGUUUGGAAAGAGCUGUUGGGUCUUUGGUGGGGGAAAUGCCAGUGAGUGAUGAGUGCUGUUUGUAUUCUGGAAUGUUCCAGGAGGAGUGAUGCCAAUCAAGGCACACCCACGUCACUAAUGUCUGAAGUUGAAAAGUAGGAUUUCAAGCCUGCCUACGGCAGAGCAGAUCACGCAGAAGCAACUGAGGAAGUUAUGAAAAGCCUUCCUGGAGGAGACGGGGCUGUCAGCAGCCUCCCGUGCUACCUCAUGGCCAACGUGCGUGUAACUCAAGCCUUCAAACCAAAUAAACCCAUUGGAGUAAACGAGAGAGGAUUUCCUUACACUCUCCCACCUGCGACAACUGAUUCUAAGGCGGUGACCCAGCGUUGUUUGUCAGGGAAGCUGGGAGCCAGCAAGUACAGGGUUCUCCCGGGCCAGCAGGUGGUGUGCGGGUGAGACUCCAUCUUCAGUACGUAUGGG